UCCCUGUUGUCUCAGUGGUAAAGAAUCUGCCUGCAAUGCAGGAGACCCAGGUUUGAUCCUUGGGUUGGGAA
Molecule: transfer RNA, 71 nt
Filed under: Bos taurus (domestic cattle)
Lineage: Eukaryota; Metazoa; Chordata; Mammalia; Artiodactyla; Bovidae
Also listed under: 4 other names
Rfam family: tRNA
About the family: Transfer RNA (tRNA) molecules are approximately 80 nucleotides in length.
Source: Rfam by way of RNAcentral